CCUGGUGGGAACUUGGCGCAAAGAUGAAAUGAACAUGAGCCUUAUCCCUUAUGACCCAACAUCCUCAUGUGUGUGAUUUGCCCUGUUCCAGAAAUGGACUGCACAAAAUAAGAGAUACAGAAAUUCCAGCGAGACCUACAUUCUCCCAGGUAGAACGAAAUCUCAAUUGUUACUCUGAUGUUCUUUGCUGCCUCACUCUACAUUGCUUUGACUGUACUGAUGUGAACACUAAGACACAAUAAGGGCCUAGUAAAAUAAUCUUCCAAUCUUCAAUUUCAUCUUCUGUGAAAAGUAGUUUAACUCAAUAGGUUGGAAACAGUGCUAUGAGCCUCUUGAUAGAAAUGACAUGAAAAACAUCAUGAGAUGUUCUGACAAAUCUGCUGCAUGAAUAUGAUGAUUUCAAAUAAUAAUUAUGUUCAUUAACUCUUAGAAUUUUUAUGCCAUGGUCUUAUAUUCUAAUAUUCUUUCUCAUGCCAGGCACCAUUCAAAAGGUUUUAUAUAUGCCAACCUAUAUAGUCCUCACAAUAACCCUAAAAAAUAGUAUACUUACUCUCCCCUUUUUAAAGAUGAAAAAAUGGAAAAUUAACUAACUUGCUCAGGUGCUGAUAAUCCCAAUACUACACCCAUCUCCUUGUCAUGAAUUCACUAAUCGUUUUGAUACGACAUAAGUCUUCAAUUCCCCUAUAAAUGCAAUUUUUCUGUUCUUGAUUUGAUUUAAAACAUCUCUAGAAUCCUUUCUAUGUCUAAAAUUACAGUGUUGGAGAAGAAACUAUCAGCUGUAAACGACAUUCAGAUAAUUCCCAUUAACUAUCAACUAUGUAAUUUUGUGUUAUUUUUACAUCACUCUUGUACUUUUUUUGCUUAAAAAAUUAAAUGAUUGCAUACAAAAUGAGACAAUUUUGUUCUUAUUUAAUCCUUACUGUGAAUACAGGCACAACAAUUACAUUAUUUUGAAGCUAUUGAUUGCUCUUUAAAUGUCCUGCUUCUGUAAUGAGGAUCUGCUGUAAUCAACCACAUUCUAAAUCUUCCCCUCAAUAACCUUUAUGGCUUUAGUUUUCUGUUGUUCACCUUUAAAAACAAUAGUGCCUCCCAAGAUUUGAAAUGUUCAGAUAAAGCAUUGUUUAUUUGAGUGUUCUUGUUAAAGAACCCUGACUCAAAGUAAAAUGUGUUUCACUAAGUUCCUUUAAGGAUGGUUUUUUAUAUUGCUCAUUCAACCCUCAAAAAAUUUCUCUGUGGGGUGA
This is a long non-coding RNA of Pan troglodytes (chimpanzee), 1241 nucleotides long. RefSeq lists it as uncharacterized. The record is from RefSeq and is a predicted model, not a curated record. NCBI's taxonomy places the organism in Eukaryota, Metazoa, Chordata, Mammalia, Primates, Hominidae. The transcript has 3 exons.